Molecule: long non-coding RNA, 353 nt
Filed under: Manihot esculenta (cassava)
Lineage: Eukaryota; Viridiplantae; Streptophyta; Magnoliopsida; Malpighiales; Euphorbiaceae
Description: long non-coding RNA (MESC_LNC012589)
Source: RNAcentral
UCGAAAUGAAAUCCAUCCAACGGUCGAUUUUUAGAUAAGAUCUAUCAGAAUACUGUUGGUGUAAUUAUUAUCUGAGAUUCCAUCUGACUUCAUUGAAAAAUGUGGGGAUAGGGGUGCAUACUAUCUGAAGGUCGAGAUCGAAAUGAAAUCCAUCCAACGGUCAAUUUUUAGAUAAGAUCUAUCAGAAUACUGUUGAUGUAAUUAUUAUCUGAGAUUCCAUCUGACUUCAUUGAAAAAUGUGGGGAUAAGGGUGCAUACUAUCUGAAGGUCGAGAUCGAAAUGAAAUCCAUCCAACGGUCAAUUUUUAGAUAAGAUCUAUCAGAAUACUGUUGAUGUAAUUAUUAUCUGAGAUU